CCAAACCGGUUCUGGCGAGGGUCCCUUCUAAAGCCCACUCUGGUGUUGCGUGUCCUGGUGGAGGUCAGCCCAGCAGCAGGUACAUCUGGGGUGAACGGCAGGUUCUGGGUACCCAGAGAGCUGGAGUGUCUUCCGGGAGUCUGGAAGGGUACCUGACUCGAAUGUCAGGGUUCUGUUGUGCAUAUGAACACCUGGCCCCUGGGCACCUCUCUCUAGAGUGCUCUCGGCCCGAACUUUCUAAAUCAGUGUGUUUGAUCCAGUAGGUAAGGGUGGCCUCUGUGGGGAUUUUGAGAAAACAUUUUUGUAUUUGAAAUAGAACAAGGAGCCCUGGCCAGUGUGGUUCAAUGAUUAGAGCGUCAGCCCACGCAUGGAAGGGUCUCAGGAUCAAUUCCCAGUCAAGGGCAUGUACCUGGGUUGCAGGUUCAAUUCCCAGCCUUGCCCGAGGUGUGUGUGGGAGGCACCCAAUCAAUGUCUCUCACAUCAAUGUUUCUCUGUCUCUUUUUCUCCUCUCUUCCCUCUGAUCCACUCUCUCUAAAAAUCAAUGGGAAAAAUAUCCUCGGGUGAGGAUUAAGGAAAAAAAAAAUGGAACAAGGAUUCAAGUGUAAAAUUCACAUGGAUUUUUAAGGUAAGCCAUGCAGAGCUCUGUUUUAAAUGACUCAGAGUUGCUGAGCCUCAAAAAGAGGCAUGUAGUAUGUCCUUUGAGGCCUUCCCUACACGUGCCCUUCUCCAGAUCAUCCUCACAUUUAGAGGCUCAGCACAAGCCCAACUCCCCACUCCUCUCCUUGGGCCCCCCAGGGGUGUCCUCUGCACCGAGCACCGCAGUCCCACCUGGCUCACCUGCUCCCGACUCUGUCCCAUCCAGUGUCCCUCCAACCCUUUCAGGCCUGGGUCACCUUUGUGUGUCUCCUGCUGCUGAGCUCUGCUGGCGUCCAAUAAACUUCCUUCCCUGCGAGACUGGUUCCCCCUGAGCCCAGGGUCCGAUCUGGCUGAGGCCUCAGCCCUCACCCUGGGGGCUCUGAAGGUGGAGAUGAGCCCCGCCCCCUCUGAUCUUUCCUACUUGGCCUGACAGCUGUCUCUGAGGUAGCAGUGAGCUGAUGAAUAACUCCUGAGCCUGGUGAGUGCAAACGUCAUGGUUCAGCUCUCUUCAUCCAAUGGUGAGGCAAACCCUCGAUUCCAUGUCACAGAAGUUCCGGCCAUUGUUCCAGGCCACGGCCCCUUUAAAGAAAAUGGUGAUUAUUUUCACCAGUAGGGAGGCGGCUAAAGCUGACCUGUGGGGUCCUUUGGCUUUACCUAAAGAACAAUGGGGGUCCAGAGGGUUAGGAGGAAGGGGCAGGCCCGUGGGAGUGUGUGACCGGUGCUUCCUUAGAUAUAGGGGUGGGAUCCAAUGAGGAAUCUGGGAAGUCUGUGCAGUUGGGGCAAUGCCCUGGGGUCAAGAUGUCGGACCAGGGGUGGCAGGAGCCUGGGCGGAGUCCCCAGGCCCGGGGAGCAAAGAGAACAGAAGUGGCUCUGGGCUUAGUGUGGCAUAAGGCUGUGUUUGGGAAAUAAGAAACUUACACCCAUGACCUAAACAGAAUAAAACAGCAGUAUUAAUGAGGCUUCGCAGUAAGAACGCCGGGCAGGACUGUGACUUUACAUUGAGAAAUACCGGACUGAGCAGAAUGGGCACUCGGGAAGCUCGAGGAGGGAGAGAAAGUGGCCAAGAGAGCUGGAGGAAGCUGAGGUGGGAGUGGGCACACCUCUAAUGAGGGUGAGAGGACUCAACUCCCUCAGUAGCCACAUGCACAUUCCACUCCCAAGAGGGUAAAACACCAACCUGGCAAAGAUGCACUCAUCUCAAUGUCUCAGCACAACCCCUUGCCUCUGGGAAAGCAGUCCCGUCACUCCAGCAGCCACAGAGCUGAAGCCCAAGGACACAUUGCCAGGCGCAAGCACUUGCUUUCUUUUUCAGUUCUGCCUGGACUCCUGGCUCAACACAUCCAAGUCGGGGCUGCAACUCUGCUCGACAUUGCUGUUUCCAAACGCCAGCCUAUGACAUUUCACUUCCCAUAAGAUUACACCCAAUACUUUCUGAUUUACAUUCCUAUGGAUUUUUUUUCCUUUUUUUUUUUAAAUUAAUGAAACAAACUCAACGCAGAGCAGGGAUUUGAAAAGCACAGCUAGGAGCUUUUUAGUUUGCCACGAAGAAUGCCCUGAUUAUCCCACAAUAAAACAAGCCACUGCAGAAUGAGAAUAUAUCCAGCCAGGAAACUGGACGUGAGGAAAAGCAUCUGGACACAUACAGCCUGGCCUGGAACAGCUGCCCCCAUGGGGACUCACCUCUCUUGAAAAGAACCACCCUCCCCGUCCCCCGACAGCAGGUAAAAGAUUCAACGCAGCAGCCUUCAUGAGCCAGAAGGAAAAACCAGUCAUUUUGAAAUCAACAUCCAAGGGAGGAUAGAAAGAACUCUGGAGUUUGGAAAUGACAACAACAGAUGAUCACACACACACACACACACACACACACACACACACAAACACACACACACCCCUGCUUCUCCGUCACAUGCUUUAUGUGACAUGGCAGCCUCCGCCAGCACCUCACGGCAGCUUUGAUGAUUUAAGGCAAAUGCAGUGCUCUUGAGGUCACACUGCUCUUAUCCACUUCAUCAACAAAGGUUAAGCGAACACCUACUGUGUGCCGCACAUUUCUCCUGGGCACUGGAGAGACAGCAAAGAGCAAAACUGAGCCCAUGCGCUCAAGAAGCCCACAUUUCAGUGGAAUAGAAAGACCCCCCCAAAAAUAGAAACCAGAUAAAGGUUACAGUGUGUCAUAUGGUGAUAAUCACUGUGAGAAAAAUACAGCAGGGAAGGGAGAGGGGAGAAUUUGGAUGGGAUUGGUGUAAAUGUACGUCAACAGAGAAGCACUCGCUGGGAAGGUGACAUCUGAGGAUGUGGGGAAAGCCCUAAGGACACCUGGGGAGAGCUUCCUCCACAGAGGACUAGCCAGUGCCAAGGUCCCAAGGCUGGAGCAGCUCUAGACUCACAGCAGGCCUAUACCUCCAGACAAACCCCUGGGUGCCAGGCAGGGACCUCAGCAGCCCUGAAACACCCCUUCUGGGCACCUCUACCCACAGGAGUGGGAGCCUGAGAAACAGGGCUGCCCGUGAGGACCCAGCACCUCCUGUCUGAUGACAGCCUAACCAAGGCUGUGCUGUCCAGCAUCAGUCCAAGGCUGAGAUGCUAGUCACUAGACCACCACCGCUGCCAAAGCACGCAGCAGUGUCCCCUGCGCACCACACUAUGGGCACGAUGACACAGGAACCAGUCACGAGCAGCCUUCCUCCGUCGUGGGACUCCUUCCUGCCUCCGCCACAUGAGCCAGCCAAGCACCUCAGCGCAAGACCAGUCUCAGGGACUCUCCCAGAUGGAGAUGUUUACAGGGUAGACUCAGUGCUUCGUGCUAUCUCUUCCCACAGGCAUAACUCACUAGCAUGGGUGUUAUUCUAAAAGGCUAAUUUUAAAAAGCAUCUUGAGAAGGAACUGAGCUGCACAAACAGCAUCUGACACCUCCAGGAUCUGGAAUACACUGCUGACCAGUGGUCAUGGGUGGCAGUGAGGGCUCCUUGAGGCAUCCCCAUCCAGCCUGCCAGCCCACAGGUCCUGUGGGUGAGUCAUUCCCUCCCAGCACACCUCUAUUGGACUUCUGGUUCCUCAACAGCUUCUGAAAUUUCAAUCUCAGGAGAGAAAAAAAAAUGUAACCCUCAUCCAGGGAUAUG
Myotis daubentonii (Daubenton's bat) is the source of this 3755-nucleotide long non-coding RNA. RefSeq lists it as uncharacterized. NCBI's taxonomy places the organism in Eukaryota, Metazoa, Chordata, Mammalia, Chiroptera, Vespertilionidae. The record is from RefSeq and is a predicted model, not a curated record.